UGGGAGGACCAUCUCCUAAGGCUAAAUACUCUCUAGUGACCGAUAGUGAACCAGUACCGUGAGGGAAAGGUGAAAAGCACCCCGGAAGGGGAGUGAAAUAGAACCUGAAACCGUGUGCUUACAAGUAGUCAGAGCCCGUUAAUGGGUGAUGGCGUGCCUUUUGUAGAAUGAACCGGCGAGUUACGAUUUGAUGCAAGGUUAAGCAGUAAAUGUGGAGCCGUAGCGAAAGCGAGUCUGAAUAGGGCGUUUAGUAUUUGGUCGUAGACCCGAAACCAGGUGAUCUACCCUUGGUCAGGUUGAAGUUCAGGUAACACUGAAUGGAGGACCGAACCGACUUACGUUGAAAAGUGAGCGGAUGAACUGAGGGUAGCGGAGAAAUUCCAAUCGAACCUGGAGAUAGCUGGUUCUCUCCGAAAUAGCUUUAGGGCUAGCCUCAAGUGAUGAUUAUUGGAGGUAGAG
RNAcentral lists this ribosomal RNA (459 nucleotides) under Staphylococcus aureus. Its description in RNAcentral is "partial 23S ribosomal RNA". It matches the Rfam family "Bacterial large subunit ribosomal RNA", at positions 445 to 907 of the family's 2925-position model. The record is from RNAcentral. Lineage: Bacteria; Bacillati; Bacillota; Bacilli; Caryophanales; Staphylococcaceae.